GGUAGCCUGUUUUCCCCAUAUUUUUGGAUGUGGGUGUUUAAUUUCUGUUUAGUGUCUGUUCACCUGGCAGAACUGUUUCGUUUUCGCGUCAUUGUUAUUUUGUGUAGUGUUCAGUUCUUCAAUUAAAAUAUGACGAACACUAACCAUGCUGCAUUUUGGUCCUAAUCUCCUUCCACCAAUGAGAAUCAUUACAGGAGAUUUCAUGACCCCAAACUUCUGAAGGGUGGUGUCUGUGUGUGGAUAUUCCUGGAAGGUACGGCUUGUUUCAAGUGCAGACCUGUAAGGGCCCAGUUCCAUGUGAAGGCUGGGGCUUUGGAGAACAUGAUCAGAUAGAAGAGACAUCAUCCACAAUUUUGAGCAGUGCACAAGCUCCAAGAUGCUAACUGGGGCUGGAGGGAGUGUUAUCCAGUUGACCACAAAGAAGUCUCCCUCAAUCUUCCAGCCAUGGCCCAUUGGUGAAGAUGUCUGGCUGGCUUUGCAGGCUUCUACUGUAGGCUUCUCCUGCUUGCUAGUUUGUCCAUUGGAUGUGUUUAUGCGAGGAGUCUUUGUUUGGUUGUAGUCUUCUGUCUGAGCAUAAGGAAGUGGAUGGCUGCAAACUUUCUACUUUUAAACUCGGACAAAACAGAGAUUCUUGUUCUAGGUCCCAAGAAACAAAGAGAUCUUCUGUUGAAUCUGACAAUUAAUUUUAAUGGUUGUACAGUCAUCUCAAAUAAAACUGUGAAGGACCUCUGCGUUACUCUGGACCCUGAUCUCUCUUUUGACAAACAUAUCAAGACUGUUUCAAGGACAGCUUUUUUCCAUCUACGUAACAUUGCAAAAAUCAGAAACUUUCUGUCCAAAAAUGAUGCAGAAAAAUUAAUCCAUGCUUUUGUUACUUCUAGGUUAAACUACUGCAAUGCUCUACUUUCCGGCUACAUGGAUAAAGCACUAAAUAAACUUCAGUUAGUGCUAAAUACGGCUGCUAGAAUCCUGACUAGAACUGGCUUACUGGUGCUCUUUCAUGCCGUCCCUAGGAGGGGUGCGUCACUUGAGUGGGUUGAGUCACUGAUGUGAUCUUCCUGUCUGGGUUGGAGCCCCCCCCUUGGGUUGUGCCGUGGCGGAGAUCUUUGUGGGCUAUACUCGGCCUUGUCUCAGGAUGGACCUGACCCCUAGGACCAUGCCUCAGGACUACCUGGCAUGAUGACUCCUUGCUGUCCCCAGUCCCACCUGGCUGUGCUGCUGCUCCAGUUUCAACUGUUCUGCCUGUGAUUAUUAUUAUUUGACCAUGCUGGUCAUUUUUGAACAUCUUGGCCAUGUUCUGUUAUAAUCUCCACCCAGUACAGCUAGAAGAGGACUGGCCACCCCACAUAGCCUGGUUCCUCUAGGUUUUUUCCUAGGUUUUGGCCUUUCUAGGGAGUUUUUACUAGCCACCGUGCUUCUACAUCUGCAUUGCUUGCUGUUUGGGGUUUUCGGCUGGGUUUCUGUACAGCACUUUGAGAUAUCAGGGCUAUAUUAAUAGAUUUGAUUUGAUUUGAGCGCUUUCUGUUCCUGAACAUCUGAACAACUUUCUUGAACACGUGAAAGCUUCUAUGGAUUAUAGGUCUGGUGGCUGUUGGAAAGCUGUUCCCAACUGUAUGAAGGUAGAGCAAUGUUCAUGGCCAGAGUUGUGUAUUUGCUGCCUUCACUUUGCCAAUGCCCUGCAGAGUGCUAGAGCGCUCACUGUGUCACAGCCGGAGAAGCAGUGGAGAUCGAUCAGAGCAUUAUAGACUUCUUCUUCCAGGUGGUCGUUUGUCCUUUGGACAUGUAUAGUGCGUGUGUUAUCCCCUUUCCCUGUGUGAAGUACAGGUUUUCUCCAACCUUGCAAACAUUGACUGCCAGUACAAACACAUCAGUGUCAGGACUCUUGAUCACUACAUGUGUGCUGUACUGUGAUGCAUGCUCACAAUCCAGUAAUAGCCAAGUGACGGCCUCCUGUUGUAUUGUGAACAGUGCUGGCAGUGGUAAAACCACAAGAUCUGUGCCGCUGCUGUUCAUUCUGAGCGCAUGGCACUCAGAUCCAUGUCCAUCUAUUAGGGUAAUGUCCUCAAUCAGAUCUUUCCUGGUCUUGGAUCAUGUCACAAAGACAAACUGUUGCAGACAUUCUUUGUUAUCGCAACACAACAAGAAUUUGGACCAUUGUUUGGGGGUUUUCUGGUCUUCCAAAUAUAUUUUAGUCACCUGACACCCUUUUGUUGCUCAACGACUUCCUUCAGCGUUCCUGAUGCCCAUUGUUUUGUAUGUGUCUGGGACAAAAUGCACCACUUUAGAUCAGCUGGCUUUGUCUGUAGUUAUCAGGAACUUUAGUGCCCUGUUGGCAAACAUCCCAAAUGUAUCUUGCUGUUUCAUAAUUUGAACAAGUGUAGUUGCAUCCCACACCCAGGUUGAGCCAUCAGGGAUGCUUUCAACUGUGGCUGGUGGGUUUACUGAUCCCUUUAGAAAGUACAUGAACUUUGCUUUAUCGGUUUUCACGAGGGAGCCAUGCAUGUUGAUAAUUGCUGCAGGCAAGGGCCCCAGACUAUUAGAUGAGCAUUUCACUGUUGAUCUUUCUCACUGUGCCUACCACAAUGAGCCUUGCAAAAAGAUAUUGAGGAACAGUGCCCGGGAAGAACAGUGCCUGAGACCAUUCAAUAAACCGAUCAGCUAAGCUGAUCCUGUCAUGUGUCGAACAGCCAUGGCUAAUGAGGAAUGCUUGGGCAUGAGCCAUCUCCCUUUCAUUGUGCGGUUCAUAAAAUCCUGGCAAGUUGUAUACAAUCUUCUGACUCUCCUCCUCUAACAUUCACACGUGCAUUGUCAGUAGAGGGGUCUAUUUUCAUGCCUGUUGUCCAGGAAAUGAAAUUGAAAAGCUCAUUUGGGACCAGAUUUGAGGCAGAGAGAGAGAGAGAUGAGGACUGUCAGUUCUUGUAGUAAUGCUGCCACAGAUGUAUAAUGCUAAUUUAGUCAUUGAGCGCUUAGUCGGCAAUGUUUUUUUUAACUUAGAAACUAGUCAAAGUAAGGAAUAUAAUAGCUAUUGAAUAUCUUCAUUCGUUCUUUGUUCAUAAUAAAAUAAGAUGAGCAAUUUACACUGCAGGAUGAAGACAUUACCGAACAUAUUUUUUAUAAAGUGCAACUGUAAAAAAAGGAAUCUGCCUCUUGUACAAUACAACAGUAACACAUGCAAAUGUUUAAAAAAAUAUUGCUUUCUUUUUCCAUGAUGUAGUGAACUAGAGUUCUGAUUGGAUCAUCGAAUAGUGGUGGCAUUUAGCAGUACCGGGAUUUUGCCUGACCAGACAGGUAAGAUAUGUUUUUAGAUAAAUGUGCACAAACUAGAGGUGCCGACAUAUUUUACAAGUCUUGUAGAAAUUAUUUAAUGUCAUAUACAAAAAAUCAGAUGAUUGUGAGAUGAUUGUGGACUUCAGGAAACAGCAGAGGGAACACCCCCCUAUCCACAUCGAUGGAACAGUAGUGGAGAGGGUAGCAAGUUUUAAGUUCCUCGGCAUACACAUCACAGACAAACUGAAUUGGUCCACUCACACUGACAGCGUCGUGAAGAAGGCGCAGCAGCGCCUCUUCAACCUCAGGAGGCUGAAGAAAUUUGGCUUGUCACCAAAAGCACUCAAACUUCUACAGAUGCACAAUCGAGAGCAUCCUGGCGGGCUGUAUCACCGCCUGGUACGGCAACUGCUCCGCCCUCAACCGUAAGGCUAUCCAGAGGGUAGUGAGGUCUGCACAACGCAUCACCGGGGGCAAACUACCUGCCCUCCAGGACACCUACACCACCCGAUGUUACAGGAAGGCCAUAAAGAUCAUCAAGGACAUCAACGACCCGAACCACUGCCUGUUCACCCCGCUAUCAUCCAGAAGGCGAGGUCAGUACAGGUGCAUCAAAGCUGGGACCGAGAGACUGAAAAACAGCUUCUAUCUCAAGGCCAUCGGACUGUUAAACAGCCACCACUAACAUUGAGUGGCUGCUGCCAACACACUGUCAUUGACACUGACCCAACUCCAGCCACUUUAAUAAUGGGAAUGGAUGGGAAAUGAUAUAAAUAUAACACUAGCCACUUUAAACAAUGCUACCUUAUAUAAUGUUACUUACCCUACAUUAUUAAUCUCAUAUGCAUACGUAUAUACUGUACUCUACAUCAUCGACUGCAUCCUUAUGUAAUACAUGUAUCACUAGCCACUUUAACUAUGCCACUUUGUUUACUUUGUCUACAUACUCAUCUCAUAUGUAUAUACUGUACUCGAUACCAUCUACUGUAUGCUGCUCUGUACCAUCACUCAUUCAUAUAUCCUUAUGUACAUAUUCUUUAUCCCCUUACACUGUGUAUAAGACAGUAGUUUUGGAAUUGUUAGUUAGAUUACUUGUUGGUUAUCACUGCAUUGUCGGAACUAGAAGCACAAGCAUUUCGCUACACUCGCAUUAACAUCUGCUAACCAUGUGUAUGUGACAAAUAAAAUGUGAUUUUUUUAUUUAUUUUGAGAUCCUCUCUCCACAGAUCGAUCGACUUCACUUAUUUUGGCCUCGACCCACCACUGAACUCCUCCAUUGUGAAAAAAUAUAUUUUGGAAGCUAUAGAAGAUAUUUAUUAAUGUCUACAUUCGUUUUUGACAGGUCUAUUUUAUUUCAGACACCUAACUACAUGAUUUUACAUUAUGUUAAGUGAACUGAACAUAAAAAAACAUAUACAAAAAUAUUCCUUAAAGUUUUUUUUAAGUCUACAAGAAAUAAAUACUUAAAUACAUUUUGCUGAACUACUGUAGAAUUCCAUUCAUUCCUAUGGAGGAUUGCUCUUUCUGUGGAGUACAAAUAUGGCCUCCAGUGGCUUCAAAGCCUCGCAUUGGCCAGUACAUAGCAUCAGCAAUCCAGGGUUUAUACACAUCGUUGGGUGAAAUCCACAUAGAUGACAUCAAAAUCAAUGACUCAAGGUAAUGAAUUUCAAGUAAGUAUUCUUUUCUUUUGUAUCACGAAAGAUAACAUUGCAUUGGAUUUUUAAAGAAGGUAAGAUUUCAGAUCUA
Oncorhynchus keta (chum salmon) is the source of this 5013-nucleotide long non-coding RNA. RefSeq lists it as uncharacterized. The record is from RefSeq and is a predicted model, not a curated record. The transcript has 4 exons. Lineage: Eukaryota; Metazoa; Chordata; Actinopteri; Salmoniformes; Salmonidae.